RNAcentral lists this transfer RNA (73 nucleotides) under Marmota monax (woodchuck). RNAcentral describes it as "tRNA.Ala". It matches the Rfam family "tRNA". From Rfam's summary of the family: Transfer RNA (tRNA) molecules are approximately 80 nucleotides in length. Their secondary structure includes four short double-helical elements and three loops (D, anti-codon, and T loops). Lineage: Eukaryota; Metazoa; Chordata; Mammalia; Rodentia; Sciuridae. The record is from RNAcentral.
GAGGUUGUGGCUCAGUGGUAGAGUGCUCAUCUAGCAUGUGUGGGGCCCUGGGUUCAAUCCUCGGCAGCACUUA